Molecule: ribosomal RNA, 548 nt
Filed under: uncultured bacterium
Lineage: Bacteria
Description: bacterial SSU rRNA
Rfam family: Bacterial small subunit ribosomal RNA
Source: RNAcentral
UGGGGAAUAUUGCGCAAUGGGGGCAACCCUGACGCAGCCAUGCCGCGUGAAUGAAGAAGGCCUUCGGGUUGUAAAGUUCUUUCGGUGACGAGGAAGGCGUGAUGUUUAAUAGGCAUCACGAUUGACGUUAAUCACAGAAGAAGCACCGGCUAACUCCGUGCCAGCAGCCGCGGUAAUACGGAGGGUGCGAGCGUUAAUCGGAAUAACUGGGCGUAAAGGGCACGCAGGCGGCUAUUUAAGUGAGGUGUGAAAUCCCCGGGCUUAACCUGGGAAUUGCAUUUCAGACUGGGUAGCUAGAGUACUUUAGGGAGGGGUAGAAUUCCACGUGUAGCGGUGAAAUGCGUAGAGAUGUGGAGGAAUACCGAAGGCGAAGGCAGCCCCUUGGGAAUGUACUGACGCUCAUGUGCGAAAGCGUGGGGAGCAAACAGGAUUAGAUACCCUGGUAGUCCACGCUGUAAACGCUGUCGAUUUGGGGAUUGGGCCUUGAGCUUGGUNGCCCGAAGCUAACGUGAUAAAUCGACCGCCUGGGGAGUACGGCCGCAAGGUUA